ACGUAGGAGGCAAACGUUAUCCGGAUUUACUGGGCGUAAAGCGCGUGUAGGUGGUACUGUAAGUAGGGCGUGAAAGCUCCUGGCUCAACUGGGAGAGGCCGUUCUAAACUACAGAACUAGAGGAUGGUAGAGGGAGGUGGAAUUCCAGGUGUAGCGGUGGAAUGCGCAGAUAUCUGGAGGAAUACCAGUGGCGAAGGCGGCUUUCUGGACUGACCCUGACGCUGAGGUGCGAAAGCGUGGGUAGCAAACAG
This 251-nucleotide ribosomal RNA is filed under the name uncultured prokaryote. RNAcentral's name for it is "partial 16S rRNA". It matches the Rfam family "Bacterial small subunit ribosomal RNA", at positions 525 to 775 of the family's 1533-position model. The record is from RNAcentral.